GAACCUAAAGUCAUAAUGGAGUAAUCUUAUACCAUUACACCAAGACUCGCUCUCUAAAUCUGUUGUAACUAAAAAAAAAUGAAACCUAGGACUAGUAUCUCUCUCACUAUUAUAGAUCUCUAUUCACCAUCUAUCAUUAUGUAUCAACCUAUCAUAGCUAAGGAUGAAACUUCUAUACAACACAAUAAUAUGGAAAGAAACAGAUUGAAAUGCAAAUUUUAAGU
RNAcentral lists this long non-coding RNA (224 nucleotides) under Phoenix dactylifera (date palm). RNAcentral's name for it is "long non-coding RNA (PDAC_LNC022211)". The record is from RNAcentral. Lineage: Eukaryota; Viridiplantae; Streptophyta; Magnoliopsida; Arecales; Arecaceae.